CAAGCCUGAAUUUCAAUGAGAUGGGAACACUUUUUAGUAUAAAUGCAAGAUUUUCAUGUCUCCCUUUUAGGAAAUACAGAGAUUAUGGCGUUCAUCUGUUUCAUCCAGGACUCGAAAAGCAAAACCCUGAACCUCAGACUCUUCCAGCAUGUUUGAUUCAGCCAAACAAGGGAAGAUGCUGCGGGUGCUUUGUAUGCUAUGGAAGUGCUACGAUGCCAUCGUCUGUCCAGGAAAAGAAAGGAACACCCACCCAUGUGGUAAAGCUAUCAGAAACUGGAGCAUUGGGAAUAAAGGAAUUAUUUCCAUGAGACAAGCCGCCCGCCAUUGGCUCAUAAUAAGCUGGAAGACCAAUGACUGCUUCUCAGAGACUCCCAAAGGCCCAAUGUCCUGGCUGCAGAUUUGCGGCUGAGUCAGCACGGUGCACAGCAGAAAGGUGGGGGAGGGUGGCCAGUGCCGCCCUGCCAGGCUCUGUCUGUAUUACCUGGAGCAGCACGGACCCUUCAGUCUCCAUUCUCUCUUCAGGAAAGAGGCCUCCUCAUAGAUGGACACAUCAAGGCUCAGAGUUGUCGGUGUGAUGAUUCCCUGCAUACUUCAGGAUGCAUCCUCCGUCAUCAGGCUGGGCUGCAAGAUAGAAUAUAACAUGCAUAUGGCAGACGUCAAAAGG
Molecule: long non-coding RNA, 664 nt
Organism: Sapajus apella (tufted capuchin)
Lineage: Eukaryota; Metazoa; Chordata; Mammalia; Primates; Cebidae
Exons: 3
Source: RefSeq, a predicted model, not a curated record